UCUGGGUAAUAGUUGGUUCGUCCUCAGCAGGUAUCCAGGGGGGAUGAGAAUGGGAUCAUUGGAGAACAUGAUCAAUGGAGCUUCUAGGAGCAAGUAAACAACAGACUGCAGACGCCACCAAAUUCAGGACAAUUUCUUGUAUGCUGAGAGAGAUUAUGAAAAACGAAUGCCUCAGUCUCGCUUUCCACAAGCUUCCUACACACUGUCUAUUUAUCACCGCAGCUGAUAGAGAUAAAAGACGGCCAGAGUGUCUUGUUACUGUGGUGGGGAAACAGAGCUCAUACAUUACCAGACUUGUGUAAAAUGUCUGAACUAAUGGUUAUGUCUAAGGCUGGUAUUGCUUUAACAGGAAAACUACUGUCAUUGGAGUCCCUAUACUGUAUGUAGUCUAGUUUCAGUUUAUGGAGAAAAAGAGGAGCGUUGUAUUACAUCCUAGUCAUAUGAAGAAACAGACCAGUAAAAAUGGGAUUUGGUUCAAUUAUGAUCCUGUGCUGAGUGGUUUAUAAUAACUUCAUACACAUGGAAUCUCAACAAAACAUACACAAACAGAAAAAGAAAUGGCUAGCCCAAUAAACACAUAUUACUCAUCAAGCUUGUUCAAAUGUUAAACUAAAACAUGGGAUGGGCUUAUUAUAGAUCUACAGAAAACAUGAAAAUGUAUAAUUUCAUGCCAAAUGGUUAUGUCAGUUUGCCAGAUGUUUGCAGCUGUAGAGUGGUAGUAGUAACCUGCAGCAAACAUUUGGCAAAAUGGAACAGUUUGUCUCUACUGGCAAACAGUUUUAGCAAACAUUUGGCAUUUAUCUGUCACAACUGCCACAAAUUUUAUUGAACAUACUGGCAAACAAUUUUGUGGCAAACCUGCAGCAACAAUGAACAAUCAAGCGUGGUAGUCAAACUCUCAUUAUGAACCAAGUUUAAUCAAAUAACUUUUACCAUUUUUUUUUUCUUUUUUUUUUUUAUGACACAAAUAUUUCAAUCAAUCAAUCA
Long non-coding RNA from Cyprinus carpio carpio, 987 nucleotides. The record is from Ensembl. NCBI's taxonomy places the organism in Eukaryota, Metazoa, Chordata, Actinopteri, Cypriniformes, Cyprinidae.